RNAcentral lists this ribosomal RNA (504 nucleotides) under uncultured Acidobacteriaceae bacterium. RNAcentral describes it as "bacterial SSU rRNA". It matches the Rfam family "Bacterial small subunit ribosomal RNA", at positions 8 to 493 of the family's 1533-position model. Lineage: Bacteria; Pseudomonadati; Acidobacteriota; Terriglobia; Terriglobales; Acidobacteriaceae. The record is from RNAcentral.
AGAGUUUGAUCCUGGCUCAGAACGAACGCUGGCGGCGUGCUUAACACAUGCAAGUCGAACGCGAAAAGGGGCAACCCUCGGUAGCGUGGCAGACGGGUGAGUAACACGUGGGUAACCUACCCGGAGGUGGGGGAUAACCCUUCGAAAGGAGGGCUAAUACCGCAUAACAUCGCGAGGACCUCGGUCCUUGCAAUCAAAGCUGGCCUCUGCUUACAAGCUAGCGCCACCGGAGGGGCCCGCGCCCCAUUAGCUAGUUGGUGAGGUAACGGCUCACCAAGGCGACGAUGGGUAGCCGGCCUGAGAGGGCGACCGGCCACACUGGAACUGCGACACGGUCCAGACUCCUACGGGAGGCAGCAGUGAGGAAUCUUGCGCAAUGGGCGAAAGCCUGACGCAGCGACGCCGCGUGAAGGAUGAAGGUCUUCGGAUUGUAAACUUCUGUCGAGCGGGACGAAUGCCAUGAGGACGAACAAUCCUCGUGGUUGACGGUACCGCUGAGAGCCC